UUCAACCAGUAGUUAACUCUCUUUUAUAUACCUGAAUAAACUGCUAGACAUAAGUCUCAGGCCUCGCACUAUUCCUUUCUCUAAUUAGUUUGGCAUAUCAUAACAACUCUGGGACGGUUUUAAACCACUACACAAUGUCAUAAUCAUAAUUGAAAAAGUUAUAAAAAAACAAAAUAUCAGAAGUGGAACUAAUGUCGGACCACCUUUUUCAAGCAUUAACAUCACUUGUCUUAACUCCUCAUCAGAAAAGAGAUUCACUCAAUAGCACAUAUGAAAUACGGAAAAAUUAAAUAUCAGUCUGGUUGAUUCAUGAGUAGAAACUUUCCUUCAAGUCAUUAGCAAUGCAGCAUAGCAGCAAAUCAAAGCAUAUAACAAGUUGUCUCCUUUUCCUCUAGGACACUUGUUUUCAUGCCUAUCCUUUUAUUCCCAAGAGUUAUGAUCUCCAUGCUGCAAGACACUAAAACAAAUAUGGUUAUAACUAUUGAAAAAUAUGUACUCAUGUUUAUUUUAUUUGAAAACUAAUUAAUGUAAGAGAAGAUUAUCGUUUUGCUUAAAUUCUAUCAAAGAAUGUCAAUUAUAGAUGCAAAAGCUUGGCAUCCAAUUUCUUUACGCUAUUCUAUAUGAGAACUCAUGAAUUUAAGAGGUGAUUGUUCAUUAAAUUCUAUCAGAGAACAUCAACUGUUGAUGCAGAAGAAUUCAGCAUAUUGUAUACGACAUCUUAAUUCCUCAGUGACCUUUGUUUUAUUACUUUUUUCACAAAAUAAUACAAAUAUUUUUCACAAAAAAUAUAUUGAACAUGAAAAUGUGCAUAUAACAUAUUUAGUGGCGGGAAUGUAAUAAGUAAUUUUCGGCGAGAAAGCAGUAAAGACCAAACAAUCACAAUACCUAGCAUUUUUUUUUGAUCGAAACACAAGACAUAAUUUCUUUUCAAGUUGUGAUUAUAAUAAUGUAAUAUCAGUAGAGAUGAAUUCAAACAGUGAAAUUUUAUUCUUCUCGAAGUUUAUCAACUGCAUAUCUUCUAUGGUGUCCAAUUUCAAAUGCGGGGACCUAAAAAGUUUCAUUUACCAGUAAAAUCAUUAAUGUUUUAUCAGGCAUUUCAUCAAACAUCUUAGAGUCAUCUACAUCAUGUCAGGUAAUUAUGAAUGAAAAAGAUUAGAUAACUGGAAUUUUUAAGCAAAAAUAAUUUAAAAUUAGACAUUAUGAAAGAAACUAUCACUAACUAUAACAUUUACACAUAAAGAACACCAUCAAAGUAUGUCUACCGGUACUGAAGUGUGCUUACUCGUAUUGUCAAAACUUAAUCUUCUAGCGAAUAAUUUGAUGCUUGAAAGCACUGAAGGAGAAAGAGAAUCGUAGUCUCUGAAAUGAAUAAAUAUUAAAAGAUAUGCAUGUUCCGGUUAGAUAAAGUUAUUGACAUAUGUAAAUCUAGCAAAAUCUACCACCAAACAAGUGCAAUAAAAAAGAUUAAUUAGACAAAAAACUUGCCAGAACUUCGAACCGAAACGAUAAAAAAUUAGCCAAAAGGGAGAAUCUUUGAAGAAAUACCCAAAAUAGAAAAGGUAUGAGAGAAAUUUAGGGAAGACCACAAAGAUGCAGAAGAAAUUAGAAGAAAAUGUACGAAUGUUCAGGAGAGAUGAGAAAGUAGCAUAACUGCGUAAAAAGAGUGGGUGAAUCUUUCUGAGUGGAAUACACGUGUGAAUGAAAAUGUGAGUCUUUCUGACUCAAU
This 1726-nucleotide long non-coding RNA is filed under the name Nicotiana tabacum (common tobacco). RNAcentral's name for it is "long non-coding RNA (NTAB_LNC002643)". The record is from RNAcentral. Lineage: Eukaryota; Viridiplantae; Streptophyta; Magnoliopsida; Solanales; Solanaceae.